Molecule: ribosomal RNA, 357 nt
Filed under: uncultured bacterium
Lineage: Bacteria
Description: bacterial SSU rRNA
Rfam family: Bacterial small subunit ribosomal RNA
Source: RNAcentral
AGAGGUGAGUGGAAUUCCGAGUGUAGAGGUGAAAUUCGUAGAUAUUCGGAAGAACACCAGUGGCGAAGGCGGCUCACUGGCUCGAUACUGACGCUGAGGUGCGAAAGUGUGGGUAGCAAACAGGAUUAGAUACCCUGGUAGUCCACACCGUAAACGAUGAAUAGCCAGUCGUCAAGGGGCUUGCCCCUUGGUGACACACCUAACGGAGUAAGCAUUCCGCCUGGGGAGUACGGCCGCAAGGUUAAAACUCAAAGGAAUUGACGGGGGCCCGCACAAGCGGUGGAGCAUGUGGUUUAAUUCGAUGCAACGCGAACAACCUUACCGAGGUUCGACAUCCUGUGUCUACUUGUGAGAGCA